AACGAACGGUCCCUUUGCCCGGGACUGGGGGAUCAAGUGCGGUGANCGCCGCAGGCACAAGAGCGAGCUGNACCCCGCAGGGGCCGCGGGAAUCUUNAGCGAACGACACACCGAACGACGAGACAACGAAGACACGCACACACGAAGACGCGCGAANGCAGAGAGAAGACAGGAGAGAGACGUCAGACGCACGACGACGACUAGCAGCAGAAGCGACGAGACACANACACGCGACAAACACGAACACAGAGACGACAGCACACGCACCAGACGCCAGGAAGCAAGCAGACCAAGCGGAAGAGAACAAGCGCAGACGAGACACAGCCGCCACACGAGACGAAACAGCAGACAAAGCCAGNACAAGACAGCCGAGAGACACGAAACAAGACAACACCGAGA
RNAcentral lists this ribosomal RNA (399 nucleotides) under uncultured bacterium. RNAcentral describes it as "partial 16S ribosomal RNA". The record is from RNAcentral.